AGAGUUUGAUCAUGGCUCAGAGCGAACGUUAGCGGCGGGCUUAACACAUGCAAGUCGAGCGAGAAAAGGGCUUCGGCCCCGAGUAAAGCGGCGGACGGGUGAGUAACACGUAGGUAAUCUUCCCUUGAGCGGGGGACAACGGUCCGAAAGGACCGCUAAUACCGCAUACGUUUCCGAGGAUCCCGGUCCUUGGAAGGAAAGCUAGGUAGCAAUAUCCGGCACUCGAGGAGGAGCCUGCGUCGCAUCAGCUAGUUGGUGGGGUAACGGCCUACCAAGGCGAAGACGCGUAGCUGGUCUGAGAGGAUGAUCAGCCACACUGGGACUGAGACACGGCCCAGACUCCUACGGGAGGCAGCAGUGGGGAAUAUUGGACAAUGGGCGCAAGCCUGAUCCAGCCACGCCGCGUGAGUGAUGAAGGCCUUCGGGUCGUAAAGCUCUGUGGGGAGGGACGAACCGCUGCACGUUCAUAGCGUGCAGCAUGACGGUACCUCCUUAGCAAGCACCGGCUAACUUCGUGCCAGCAGCCGCGGUAAUACGAAGGGUGCAAACGUUGCUCGGAAUCAUUGGGCGUAAAGCGCGCGUAGGCGGCCGCUUAAGUCGGAUGUGAAAGCCCCUCGCUCAACGAGGGAAGUGCACCCGAAACUGGGCAGCUUGAGUACGAAAGAGGGUCGCGGAAUUCCCGGUGUAGAGGUGAAAUUCGUAGAUAUCGGGAGGAACACCGGUGGCGAAGGCGGCGACCUGGGUCGAUACUGACGCUGAGGGCGAAAGCGUGGGGAGCAAACAGGAUUAGAUACCCUAGUAGUCC
Molecule: ribosomal RNA, 805 nt
Filed under: uncultured bacterium
Lineage: Bacteria
Description: bacterial SSU rRNA
Rfam family: Bacterial small subunit ribosomal RNA
Source: RNAcentral